Non-coding RNA from Maylandia zebra (zebra mbuna), 528 nucleotides. The record is from RefSeq and is a predicted model, not a curated record. Lineage: Eukaryota; Metazoa; Chordata; Actinopteri; Cichliformes; Cichlidae.
AUUUGUGAGCUGUGCUGAAAUAUCAGGGGGCUGAGGCUGAAUCUUCACUCCACCAAUCAAAUCAUUUGAGUUCCCCUUGACACUGGACACAUGGAACAUUUCUAUUCCUCUUCUGCUCAGCUCACAUCCACCUGAGGACACAUUCACCUGACUUUCUGAAGCAGACAUCUUGUUUUUUCAUCACUUGGCUUCAAACUGAGAGGCCCAGUCUCCUGGAGAUGGCAGACUUGCCUCGCAGACGCUAUGGCAACUUCCCACAAAGGCGAGCCACCAUGUUACCAUGGGUAGCCAAGUGUAGGGUAAGGCUGGCACUGGAGGCCAUGCCAUCUGAGACUGGUCCAAAUCUGGCAACCACAGCAGAGGAACCAACCCCCCGGGCAGAACAUGUGAAUAUAGAUGUCAGCAUGACUGGAUUCUGUGAGGUGGAAAAGGAGCCAAACCAGUCUUAUGAGAGAAAAACAAAAGCAACAUCUCCGUCAUCUGAAAAAUGGGAAAGGCCUCCAGACAAAAGUGUUAAAGCUUUAUUGA